AGCUCCAGUAGCGUAUAUUAAAGUUGUUGCAGUUAAAAAGCUCGUAGUUGGAUUUCUGGCUGACCGUUGUAUGGUCCGGCGUCCUCAGGAUGCUGUGUACCGUCGCGCGUUUGCCAUCCUUCCGGAAAGUUGUGCCUACCGUCUCGCACGGAAGGGCGCUUCAAUCUGGAUCGUUUACUUUGAAAAAAUUAGAGUGUUCCAAGCAAGCAUCUGCUUGAAUACAUUAGCAUGGAAUAAUAAUAUAGGACUUCUGUUCUAUUUUGUUGGUUUCUAGAACCGAAGUAAUGAUUGAUAGGGAUCGUUGGGGGUGCUAGUAUUCAGCGGCCAGAGGUGAAAUUCUUGGAUUCGCUGAAGACUAACUACUGCGAAAGCAUUCACCAAGGAGGUCUUCUUUA
This 395-nucleotide ribosomal RNA is filed under the name Paulinella sp. RNAcentral describes it as "partial small subunit ribosomal RNA". It matches the Rfam family "Eukaryotic small subunit ribosomal RNA", at positions 587 to 975 of the family's 1831-position model. The record is from RNAcentral. Lineage: Eukaryota; Cercozoa; Imbricatea; Euglyphida; Paulinellidae.